RNAcentral lists this small RNA (75 nucleotides) under Rhodospirillum centenum SW. RNAcentral's name for it is "Makes More Granules Regulator RNA (mmgR)". It matches the Rfam family "Makes More Granules Regulator RNA (mmgR)". Rfam says of the family: SuhB later renamed mmgR (makes more granules regulator) was a putative non-coding RNA found multiple times in the Agrobacterium tumefaciens genome and related alpha-proteobacteria. Other non-coding RNAs uncovered in the same analysis include: speF, ybhL, metA, and serC. Several studies inSinorhizobium meliloti showed that suhB element is indeed a non-coding RNA:firstly it was detected on Northern blot and called Sm8RNA, secondly in an RNAseq study referred to as SmelC689. Lineage: Bacteria; Pseudomonadati; Pseudomonadota; Alphaproteobacteria; Rhodospirillales; Rhodospirillaceae. The record is from Rfam by way of RNAcentral.
UCGUAACGCACUUCUUGGGCGUUUCCUCCCUAAACUCAGGCCGUGCCCUCUGGCACGGCCUUUUUCUUUGGCCGU